UCCCGAUGAGGAAGCAAUCCCCUAAAAUUGAUAGGAAGUGCCGUAUGACACUCCAACAGCGCACAG
This is a small nucleolar RNA of Corylus avellana, 66 nucleotides long. RefSeq annotates it as small nucleolar RNA U49. Lineage: Eukaryota; Viridiplantae; Streptophyta; Magnoliopsida; Fagales; Betulaceae. The record is from RefSeq and is a predicted model, not a curated record.